CAGUCGUGGUCUUCUAGACUCUACCAAGAGUCUGGACGAAUUUGUUGCUUCAUCCAAAUGUGUAAAAGAUCAUAGCCGCACUUAAAAGCCGAGUACUCUACCAUUGAGUUAGCAACCCGGAUAAAAUAGGAUCUCUUAGAUACGAUCAAAAUCUAAAAAUCGAUGAAAUUAUACCACAUUGAAUUAGCAAGACAUCAAAAGAAAGAUUUUCUAAUCCAUUAAAAACACUCAAAUACAAAAAUGAACAGAUCCGGUUAAAUUUCAC
RNAcentral lists this long non-coding RNA (265 nucleotides) under Zea mays. RNAcentral's name for it is "drought responsive lncRNA". The record is from RNAcentral. Lineage: Eukaryota; Viridiplantae; Streptophyta; Magnoliopsida; Poales; Poaceae.